UACGUAGGUGGCUAGCGUUGUCCGGAUUUACUGGGCGUAAAGAGCGCGCAGGCGGUCGUUCAAGUCGAGUGUGAAAGCCCCCGGCUCAACUGGGGAGGGUCACGCGAUACUGAUCGACUCGAAGGCAGGAGAGGGUAGUGGAAUUCCCGGUGUAGUGGUGAAAUGCGUAGAUAUCGGGAGGAACACCAGUGGCGAAGGCGACUACCUGGCCUGUUUCUUGACGCUGAGGCGCGAAAGCUAGGGGAGCAAACGGG
RNAcentral lists this ribosomal RNA (254 nucleotides) under uncultured bacterium. RNAcentral describes it as "partial 16S ribosomal RNA". It matches the Rfam family "Bacterial small subunit ribosomal RNA", at positions 524 to 776 of the family's 1533-position model. The record is from RNAcentral.